CUCUUUUGAACCGAUUUGCCCACUUGUCGAAAAUUUAGGUGAUGGACAACGAAUCUCGGUGGGUGCGGUGAGAGUACGUUUAUCUCGCAUCUUAUCACCCCCGGUUAUGCAGGGUGAAGGAGCGAAUGGGAUGACGCGCUAAUCGACUAAAGCACGAUGAAGUGGGGAUUAUUGUACCCCUCUAUAUCCACCAGCUAGCUUAUCGUGAUUUUUAACAACGCCAUGGAUUACAUUCGGCGUGCCUCCCACUAGUCUCCAAUUUUGGCUUUGAAGCCAAUCAGUUGACACAUCAAAAGUUUCUAUUCAAACGAAAGGGAAAGAUCAGCACAAAGAGAUCAUUUCCGGCCUAGAUAGGAUGGUUCUCGUAUCGCGUUGGAUUCCAACGAAGGUGAAACCAUUCGGAGCUGGUUGAGCAUCACGUUCAUAAACGUAUGUAAGAUCCUCCUUUGGCUCUGCCAACCGGAUUCCGUUCUUGGGAUCGGCCGAAUAACCAAUCAAUGGUAUCACACCAAGUCGUACUGGGCGAAAGACAGUAUAGUAUGGGCAGUACUCAAACACUCAGUGGACCUACUUCUCGGGUCUUUGAUCUUUCAGGAGUAAUCCACAGACGGAAAGACAGACAGACGGACAGACGGACAGACGGGCCUUGCAUUCUAUCUCAACUAUUGGAUGGGGUGAUGCCGAUGUCUUACAAUGUCUUACUCACCUCCCAUGGUAGAGUCCAUAAUGACGACCGAGAGAGGAUUCUCAAGCCUAAAGGUGUCUUGACCCGUCCGGGUUAUCAAGGCUAAAGGCCGAAGUGAAGUGGAGAGCACACGCCCACCACGAUUGGCCAGAAUCACGAUCCACGAGUAGA
Molecule: long non-coding RNA, 856 nt
Organism: Tigriopus californicus
Lineage: Eukaryota; Metazoa; Arthropoda; Copepoda; Harpacticoida; Harpacticidae
Exons: 2
Source: RefSeq, a predicted model, not a curated record